Molecule: long non-coding RNA, 934 nt
Organism: Thunnus maccoyii (southern bluefin tuna)
Lineage: Eukaryota; Metazoa; Chordata; Actinopteri; Scombriformes; Scombridae
Exons: 3
Source: RefSeq, a predicted model, not a curated record
UAUGAGAACGUCUCAGACUUGCAGUUUGUCGCUUCAGCAGACAGAAGACACAGAGGAGCAGGAAGACGUGGAGUAAAGUCCAGUCAGCUGGACUCUUCUGUGUAUGAGAACGUCUCAGACUUGCAGGUCGUCGCUGCAGCACAGACAGAAGACACAGAGAUCUACAAAAACCUGGAGUAAAGUCCAGUCAGUUGAACCAGAGGCUGGACUCACCUGAUGGAAGCAGAAAGUAGUACAACAGUGAAAUAUGACAGUGGAGAGAGAGGCUGUAGAGGAUGAUGUGGACGUUUUCAUGUUCAGUUUUCAGCAGCAGCAGCAGGUAGAAGUGAGCAGCACAGACAGUCAGUAACAGCAUGUAGCAGAAGCUUUGAGAAGAAUGUGCUGAUGGCAGCUUGAACUGAAUCAUGUCGAUGUGUCAAACAUGAUUGAUUGUUUAGAUCAGUUGAAUGUCAGGUGGUGUGUGUGACUCAAUUGAUUUAUAAUUUACUGAAUGUUGAACUAAUGCAAGCUUAUUUUUUUCUCUGUAGAGUUAGUUAUAUUACAGAUAUUUAGGAUUAGAGCUGUUAUGUGAAAUGUUAUUUUAAAUGUAAAAAUGCUGUAGACUGGAGAGAGAGACUGUAGAGGAUAAUGUGGACGUUUUCAGUAGCAGCAGGUGUGUGUGACUCAUAACUGUGUUUAUGUAUAUUGAGUGUUCUGUCUGAGGUAAUGCAGGCUACAUUAUUGUACUUUACUCCUUUUUCUUUUUCUAUAUUACAGAUAUUUAGGAUUAGAGCUGUUAUGCAAAAUGUUACUUUAAUUGUAUACAUAAUAAAUCACUUUUGAAGAAUCCUGAUUGGCUUCCUGGUUUGCACCUGUCCUGGCUCACAAAGCUCAUUAAGUCUGUUCAGAACAAAGACAUCAAACUGGAAGCAUCACAUUCACACCAUGUGCAGUA